RNAcentral lists this ribosomal RNA (716 nucleotides) under uncultured bacterium. RNAcentral describes it as "bacterial SSU rRNA". It matches the Rfam family "Bacterial small subunit ribosomal RNA", at positions 42 to 754 of the family's 1533-position model. The record is from RNAcentral.
GCAGGCUUAACACAUGCAAGUCGAGCGGAGCGAGGGUGCUUGCACCUUAGCUUAGCGGCGGACGGGUGAGUAAUGCUUAGGAAUCUGCCUAUUAGUGGGGGACAACAUUCCGAAAGGAAUGCUAAUACCGCAUACGCCCUACGGGGGAAAGCAGGGGAUCUUCGGACCUUGCGCUAAUAGAUGAGCCUAAGUCGGAUUAGCUAGUUGGUGGGGUAAAGGCCUACCAAGGCGACGAUCUGUAGCGGGUCUGAGAGGAUGAUCCGCCACACUGGGACUGAGACACGGCCCAGACUCCUACGGGAGGCAGCAGUGGGGAAUAUUGGACAAUGGGCGGAAGCCUGAUCCAGCCAUGCCGCGUGUGUGAAGAAGGCCUUUUGGUUGUAAAGCACUUUAAGCGAGGAGGAGGCUACUUAGAUUAAUACUCUAGGAUAGUGGACGUUACUCGCAGAAUAAGCACCGGCUAACUCUGUGCCAGCAGCCGCGGUAAUACAGAGGGUGCGAGCGUUAAUCGGAUUUACUGGGCGUAAAGCGUGCGUAGGCGGCUUUUUAAGUCGGAUGUGAAAUCCCCGAGCUUAACUUGGGAAUUGCAUUCGAUACUGGGAAGCUAGAGUAUGGGAGAGGAUGGUAGAAUUCCAGGUGUAGCGGUGAAAUGCGUAGAGAUCUGGAGGAAUACCGAUGGCGAAGCAGCCAUCUGGCCUAAUACUGACGCUGAGUAC